CUACGGGGCGCUGCAGUGGGGAAUAUUGCACAAUGGGCGCAAGCCUGAUGCAGCCAUGCCGCGUGUAUGAAGAAGGCCUUCGGGUUGUAAAGUACUUUCAGCGGGGAGGAAGGGAGUAAAGUUAAUACCUUUGCUCAUUGACGUUACCCGCAGAAGAAGCACCGGCUAACUCCGUGCCAGCAGCCGCGGUAAUACGGAGGGUGCAAGCGUUAAUCGGAAUUACUGGGCGGUAAAGCGCACGCAGGCGGUUUGUUAAGUCAGAUGUGAAAUCCCCGGGCUCAACCUGGGAACUGCAUCUGAUACUGGCGAGCAUGAGUCUCGUAGAGGGGGGUAGAAUUCCAGGUGUAGCGGUGACAUGCGUAGAGAUCUGGAGGAAUACCGGUGGCGAAGGCGGCCCCCUGGACGAAGACUGACGCUCAGGUGCGAAAGCGUGGGGAGCAAACAGGAUUAGAUACCCCAGUAGUC
RNAcentral lists this ribosomal RNA (465 nucleotides) under uncultured bacterium. RNAcentral's name for it is "partial 16S ribosomal RNA". It matches the Rfam family "Bacterial small subunit ribosomal RNA", at positions 339 to 795 of the family's 1533-position model. The record is from RNAcentral.